RNAcentral lists this ribosomal RNA (505 nucleotides) under uncultured bacterium. Its description in RNAcentral is "partial 16S ribosomal RNA". It matches the Rfam family "Bacterial small subunit ribosomal RNA", at positions 28 to 507 of the family's 1533-position model. The record is from RNAcentral.
GACGAACGCUGGCGGCGUGCCUAAUACAUGCAAGUAGAACGCACAGUUUAUACCGUGGCUUGCUACACCAUAGACUGUGAGUUGCGAACGGGUGAGUAACGCGUAGGUAACCUGCCUGGUAGCGGGGGAUAACUAUUGGAAACGAUAGCUAGUACCGCAUAAUAUUAAUUAUUGCAUGAUAAUUGAUUGAAAGAUGCAACUGCAUCACUACCAGAUGGACCUGCGUUGUAUUAGCUAGUAGGCGAGGUAACGGCUCACCUAGGCGACGAUACAUAGCCGACAGGAGAGGGUGGGCGGCCAGACUGGGAGGGAGACACGGCCCAGUGUCCUUGAGGAGGCAGCAGUAGUGAAUCGUGGGGCAGGGGCGAAAGUCUGAGCGAGCUGCGCCGCGUGAGUGAAGAACGUUGUCGGGUCGGAAAGCACUGUUGUAGGGGAAGAAAGGGCGUGAGACUGGAACGAUCACCCUGUGACGGUAUCUGAACAGAAAGGGACGGCUAACUACGUG